RNAcentral lists this ribosomal RNA (242 nucleotides) under uncultured bacterium. RNAcentral describes it as "partial 16S ribosomal RNA". It matches the Rfam family "Bacterial small subunit ribosomal RNA", at positions 333 to 567 of the family's 1533-position model. The record is from RNAcentral.
UGAUACCUACGGGGGGCAGCAGUAGGGAAUCUUCCACAAUGGGCGAAGGCCUGAUGGAGCAACGCCGCGUGGGUGAAGAAGGUCUUCGGAUCGUAAAACCCUGUUGUUAGAGAAGAAAGUGCGUGAGAGUAACUGUUCACGUUUCGACGGUAUCUAACCAGAAAGCCACGGCUAACUACGUGCCAGCAGCCGCGGUAAUACGUUGGUGGCAAGCGUUAUCCGGAUUUAUUGGGCGUAAAGCG